UUUCUGAUCCUGAAUCAUCAGUUUUUCCCUUGAAAGAUGGGAGGUGGCAAGGACAAACACAAUGAAGAAGAGAAAGGAGUUUUCUCACAUCUGGCUCAUGGAGUAGCUCAAGCUGCUCAUGGUUACCCUCCAGGGGCAUACCCUCCACCUCCUGGGGCAUACCCUCCUUACCAAGGGUACCCACCUGCUCAUGGCUACCCUCCACAAGGUGGCUAUCCUCCGGCUGGUUAUCCCCCUGCUGGCUAUCCUCCUGCUGCUGGUGGUUACCCCCCUGCUGGUUACCCUCCACAUGGU
Molecule: long non-coding RNA, 294 nt
Filed under: Glycine max (soybean)
Lineage: Eukaryota; Viridiplantae; Streptophyta; Magnoliopsida; Fabales; Fabaceae
Description: long non-coding RNA (GMAX_LNC002419)
Source: RNAcentral